GCUAUCCCAUAAUAUUUGGAUAAUUAUUUGGAGUUGAAAAACUAUUUUAUUUAAAUAGUUAUAUAGCCCUAAAGGCAUUUAUAGGGCAAAUUUAUUUUUGUGUAUUUUAUUUUGAGGGGAAACUACUCCCAAAAGUUGUAUCAUGAUAAAACAUGGAUUUAGAAUUUUUCUGGAAUUUAUUUGGACCAAUUUGGAGUUCAAAAUCAAAAGAUAUCAAAGAAAUAAGAAAAACAGAAAAACAAAAGGCUAAAAGGAAAAAAAGGGGGAGAACUGGACCGGCCCGGCCGUUUUGGGCCGAACCGGCCCCGCAUCGCCCGAGCCAGC
This 324-nucleotide long non-coding RNA is filed under the name Brachypodium distachyon (stiff brome). RNAcentral describes it as "long non-coding RNA (BDIS_LNC002496)". Lineage: Eukaryota; Viridiplantae; Streptophyta; Magnoliopsida; Poales; Poaceae. The record is from RNAcentral.